This 480-nucleotide ribosomal RNA is filed under the name uncultured bacterium. Its description in RNAcentral is "partial 16S ribosomal RNA". It matches the Rfam family "Bacterial small subunit ribosomal RNA", at positions 28 to 507 of the family's 1533-position model. The record is from RNAcentral.
GAUGAACGCUAGCGGCAGGCCUAAUACAUGCAAGUCGAGGGGAAUGGGUUGCUUGCAACCCAGAGACCGGCGCACGGGUGCGUAAGGCGUAUGCAAUCUACCUUAAUCAGGGGGAUAGCCCGGAGAAAUUCGGAAUAACACCGCAUAACAUUGAGAUGUGAUUUCAUAGUUCAAUCAAGUAUUUAUAGGAUUUAGAUUAGCAUGCGUGACAUUAUUUAGUUGGUGAGGGAACGGCGCACCAAGACCACGAUGCCAAGGGGAGCUGAGGGUAUGCCCCCCCACACUGGUACCGCGGCCCAGACCCCACCGCUACGCGAGGCAGGAGUAAGUAAUAUUGGGCACUGGGCGCUAGCCUGACCCCGCCAUGCCGCUGGCAGGAAGACGGCCCUCUGGGUUGUAAACUGCUUUUGUACCGGAAUAAUCCUUCUCUUGCGAGAGAAGCUGACCGUACGGUACGAAUAAGGAUCGGCUAACUCCGUG